RNAcentral lists this ribosomal RNA (254 nucleotides) under uncultured bacterium. RNAcentral describes it as "partial 16S ribosomal RNA". It matches the Rfam family "Bacterial small subunit ribosomal RNA", at positions 524 to 776 of the family's 1533-position model. The record is from RNAcentral.
UACGUAGGGGGCAAGCGUUGUCCGGAUUUAUUGGGCGUAAAGAGCUCGUAGGCGGUUCCGUAAGUCGUGAAGUCAAAUCUCUGGGCUCAACCCAGAAUCGCUUCCGAUACUGCGGUGACUGGAGUCCGGUAGGGGAGUGUGGAAUUCCUGGUGUAGCAGUGAAAUGCGUAGAUAUCAGGAGGAACACCGGUGGCGAAGGCGGCCACCUGGACGGUAACUGACGCUGAGACGCGAAAGCGUGGGGAGCAAACAGG